This 253-nucleotide ribosomal RNA is filed under the name uncultured bacterium. RNAcentral's name for it is "partial 16S ribosomal RNA". It matches the Rfam family "Bacterial small subunit ribosomal RNA", at positions 524 to 776 of the family's 1533-position model. The record is from RNAcentral.
UACGUAGGGUGCGAGCGUUAAUCGGAAUUACUGGGCGUAAAGCGUGCGCAGGCGGUUCGACAAGUCCGAUGUGAAAGCCCCGGGCUCAACCUGGGAAUGGCAUUGGAAACUGGCGAGCUUGAGUGUGGCAGAGGGGGGUGGAAUUCCGCGUGUAGCAGUGAAAUGCGUAGAGAUGCGGAGGAACACCGAUGGCGAAGGCAGCCCCCUGGGCUGACACUGACGCUGAGGCGCGAAAGCCAGGGGAGCAAACGGG